AGGAUGAACGCUGGCGACGUGCCUAAUGCAUGUAAGUCGCACGCAGCGCCUUCGGGCGGCUGAGUGGCGCACGGCUGAGGAACGCGUGGGUAACCUGCCCUGGCGUGGGGGGACAACGGGACGAAAGUCACGCUAAGCCCGCAUACGCUCGCCCAUUUAAGGGGGCGAGGAAAGCGCGCAAGCGCGCGCCGGGAGGGGCCUGCGGCCCAUCAGGUAGUUGGUCGGGGUAACGGCCCACCAAGCCAAUGACGGGUCCCUGGUCCUGAGAGGACGACCAGGCAGACUGGACUGAGACACGGCCCAGACCUCCGUACGGGAGGCAGCAGACAAGGAAUUUGCACAAGUGGGCGCAAGCCUGGAUGACAGACGAACGUCGCGGU
This 380-nucleotide ribosomal RNA is filed under the name uncultured soil bacterium. RNAcentral's name for it is "bacterial SSU rRNA". It matches the Rfam family "Bacterial small subunit ribosomal RNA", at positions 26 to 403 of the family's 1533-position model. The record is from RNAcentral.